Molecule: long non-coding RNA, 247 nt
Filed under: Vigna radiata
Lineage: Eukaryota; Viridiplantae; Streptophyta; Magnoliopsida; Fabales; Fabaceae
Description: long non-coding RNA (VRAD_LNC004761)
Source: RNAcentral
UCGGUUAGUAGUCUUUUGCACUCCUGGGAAAAAUCAAGACGCAAAUCAGGGAACAGUUCCAUGGACAUCAGGGAAUUGACACAGACUCAGUAGACAGAAAACAAAGACUCACAAGGACAGACACAGAGUUGCACAGUUAUCAAGAAAUUUGGAAAGUGAGAGGAAAUGAACAGAAUCCCACACAGAGUCAAGGAAAGCAGAUACUCAAGAAAUCAUCUAAGCAGUUCAAGACAUGGUAAAAUGAUCA